UACGUAGGGUGCAAGCGUUGUCCGGAAUUAUUGGGCGUAAAGAGCUCGUAGGCGGUUUGUCGCGUCGGCUGUGAAAACCUGGGGCUCAACCCCGGGCCUGCAGCCGAUACGGGCAAACUAGAAUUCGGUAGGGGAGACUGGAAUUCCUGGUGUAGCGGUGAAAUGCGCAGAUAUCAGGAGGAACACCAGUGGCGAAGGCGGCUCACUGGCCCGGUACUGACGCUGAGGUGCGAAAGCGUGGGGAGCAAACAGG
Molecule: ribosomal RNA, 253 nt
Filed under: uncultured bacterium
Lineage: Bacteria
Description: partial 16S ribosomal RNA
Rfam family: Bacterial small subunit ribosomal RNA
Source: RNAcentral